AUGGUCAAGUGGUCCGAGAUCUGUAGACCCCGCGACCAGGGCGGCCUUGGGAUCAUGUCAUCCAAACGCAUGAAUAUAGCCCUUUUGACUCGAUGGCUCUGGAGGAUUAACAACGGAGAUGGUGGCCUGUGGCUGCGCAUUAUUCAGCAGAAGUACCUCCGCGGACAGCCACUCGCCUUCUGUCAACGCUCUGGAGGCUCCCAGUUCUGGCAAUCUGUCAUCCAGCUCCUCCCUGUCCUCCGGAUAGGGACCUCGAUUGAGAUCGGGUCCGGCACCGCCACACUGUUUUGGUUUGAUCGCUGGACUGGGGACGCACCCCUGGCGUCCCGGUUUCCGGUCCUGUUCUCCAUUGCGGUGGCCCCCCAGAUCUCCGUGGCAAACGCCCUUCUCGACCUUGGGCGCCUUGCGUUCCAAAGGCCUUUUGGUCCUGCGGAGAAUGCGGACUGGCAGGACUUGCUUGACUGUGUGACUCUCCAUGAGCCGGAUCUCACGUCUGAUGAUGACCGCGCUAGAUGGCGCCUUGAACCAUCCGGUCAAUUCUCCACCAAAUCUCUCUAUCGGGCCAUCGCCCCCUCGCCCGGUCAUGAGGCGCUCUCAUCUAUUUGGGAGAUUCGCCUCCCAUUGAAGAUUAGGAUAUUCUUGUGGCAGUGGAUUCGUGUCCGCCUUCCAUCUGGCGUUGAGAUUCUGAAACGCAAUGGCCCUGGGGACGGGCGCUGCCCACUCUGUGGGCCUGAAGAGGACUCGAACCAUAUCUUCUUCACCUGCGUGUCUGCGCAGUUCCUUUGGAGCUGA
RNAcentral lists this ribosomal RNA (792 nucleotides) under Triticum aestivum (bread wheat). RNAcentral describes it as "partial small subunit ribosomal RNA". Lineage: Eukaryota; Viridiplantae; Streptophyta; Magnoliopsida; Poales; Poaceae. The record is from RNAcentral.